This 440-nucleotide ribosomal RNA is filed under the name Staphylococcus aureus. Its description in RNAcentral is "bacterial SSU rRNA". It matches the Rfam family "Bacterial small subunit ribosomal RNA", at positions 20 to 449 of the family's 1533-position model. Lineage: Bacteria; Bacillati; Bacillota; Bacilli; Caryophanales; Staphylococcaceae. The record is from RNAcentral. RNAcentral also lists the same sequence under 1 other name.
UGGCUCAGGAUGAACGCUGGCGGCGUGCCUAAUACAUGCAAGUCGAGCGAACGGACGAGAAGCUUGCUUCUCUGAUGUUAGCGGCGGACGGGUGAGUAACACGUGGAUAACCUACCUAUAAGACUGGGAUAACUUCGGGAAACCGGAGCUAAUACCGGAUAAUAUUUUGAACCGCAUGGUUCAAAAGUGAAAGACGGUCUUGCUGUCACUUAUAGAUGGAUCCGCGCUGCAUUAGCUAGUUGGUAAGGUAACGGCUUACCAAGGCAACGAUGCAUAGCCGACCUGAGAGGGUGAUCGGCCACACUGGAACUGAGACACGGUCCAGACUCCUACGGGAGGCAGCAGUAGGGAAUCUUCCGCAAUGGGCGAAAGCCUGACGGAGCAACGCCGCGUGAGUGAUGAAGGUCUUCGGAUCGUAAAACUCUGUUAUUAGGGAAGAA